AGCUCCAAUAGCGUAUAUUAAUGUUGUUGCAGUUAAAAAGCUCGUAGUUGGAUUCCUGACCUGGGGUAGCCGGUCCGCCUUGCAAAAGGUGCGCACUGAGCGGCCUCGGUCAUCCUUGAGAAGAGCGGUCCUGGCAUUCAGUUGUCGGGGUCGGGAUUCUCGACGUUUACUGUGAAAAAUCAGAGUGUUCAACGCAGGCUUACGCCUUGAAUACAUUAGCAUGGAAUAAUGAGAUAGGACCUUGGCGGUCUAUUUUGUUGGUUUGCACGCCGAGGUAAUGAUUAAAAGGGACGGUUGGGGUUCUUCGUAUUCAAUUGUCAGAGGUGAAAUUCUUGGAUUUAUGGAAGACGAACUGCUGCGAAAGCGUCGAACAAGGACGUUCUCA
Molecule: ribosomal RNA, 385 nt
Filed under: uncultured eukaryote
Lineage: Eukaryota
Description: SSU rRNA
Rfam family: Eukaryotic small subunit ribosomal RNA
Source: RNAcentral